CUUAGAAGCAGCCAUCCUUUAAAGAUAGCGUAACAGCUCACUGGUCAAGCGUUCUUGCGUCGAAAAUGUACCGGGGCUUAAGUCAUUCACCGAAGACGCGGGCGCAUUUAUGCGCGGUAGCGGAGCGUUCCGUAAGCCUGUGAAGGGGUCCUGCGAGGGGCCUUGGAGGUAUCGGAAGUGAGAAUGCUGACAUGAGUAACGAUAAAAGGGGUGAGAGACCCCUUCGCCGAAAGAUCAAGGUUUCCUGCGCAAUGCUAAUCAGCGCAGGGUUAGCCGGCCCCUAAGACGAGGCAGACAUGCGUAGUCGAUGGGAACUCAGUUUAAUAUUACUGGGCCAUUGGGUAGUGACGGAUUGCGUAUAUCGUAUCCCCUUAUUGGAUUGGGGGUGCGGUGAAGCAGUUCCAGGAAAUAGCUCCCAUUUAAGACCGUACCCCAAACCGACACAGGUGAUCAGGUAGAGCAUACCAAGGCGCUUGAGAGAACUCUGCUGAAGGAACUCGGCAAAUUACCUCCGUAACUUCGGGAGAAGGAGGCCCGCUUUUAAGGCAACUUUUAAGCGGGGGCACAGACCAGGGGGUGGCGACUGUUUAUUAAAAACAUAGGGCUCUGCGAAGUUGCAAAACGACGUAUAGGGUCUGACGCCUGCCCGGUGCUUGAAGGUUAAAUGGAGUGGUGAAAGCUGCGAAAUGAAGCCCAAGUAAACAGCGGCCGUAACUAUAACGGUCCUAAGGGAGCGAAAUUCCUUGUCGGGUAAGUUCCGACCUGCACGAAUGGCGUAACGACUUCCCCACUGUCUCCAGCAGAGACUCAGUGAAAUUGAAUUCCUCGUGAAGAUGCGAGGUACCCGCGGCUAGACGGAAAGACCCCAUGAACCUUUACUACAGCUUCACAGUGGCAUUUGUAAUGAUAUGUGUAGGAUAGGCGGGAGUCUUUGAAACCUGAGCGCCAGCUUGGGUGGAGACAACCUUGAAAUACCGCCCUUGUCCUUAUGGAUGUCUAACCGCGGUCCGUUAUCCGGAUCCGGGACCCUGUGUGGUGGGUAGUUUGACUGGGGCGGUCUCCUCCUAAAGAGUAACGGAGGAGCACGAAGG
This 1091-nucleotide ribosomal RNA is filed under the name Prionitis livida. RNAcentral's name for it is "Grateloupia livida bacterial LSU rRNA". It matches the Rfam family "Bacterial large subunit ribosomal RNA", at positions 1105 to 2316 of the family's 2925-position model. The record is from RNAcentral. Lineage: Eukaryota; Rhodophyta; Florideophyceae; Halymeniales; Halymeniaceae.